RNAcentral lists this unclassified non-coding RNA (232 nucleotides) under plant metagenome. Its description in RNAcentral is "partial contains small subunit ribosomal RNA and internal transcribed spacer 1". The stretch from base 1 to 46 matches the Rfam family "Eukaryotic small subunit ribosomal RNA", at positions 1786 to 1831 of the family's 1831-position model. The record is from RNAcentral.
AAGUCGUAACAAGGUUUCCGUAGGUGAACCUGCGGAAGGAUCAUUAUCGAGCAAGGGUCCUUCGGGGCCCGACCUCCCAACCCUCGUGUCUACCACACCUCGUUGCUUUGGCGGGCCCGCCUUCAGGGGCCGCCGGCGGUCCUCACGGACCCCUGGCCCGCGCCCGCCAACGGCCCACACAAAACCUGAUCAAACGAACCGUGAAUCUCAGUUUACACAAAAUUAAAUAAAA